UUUGAACGCUGGCGGCAUGCCUUACACAUGCAAGUCGAACGGCAGCACGGGAGCAAUCCUGGUGGCGAGUGGCGAACGGGUGAGUAAUAUAUCGGAACGUGCCCAGUCGUGGGGGAUAACGUAGCGAAAGCUACGCUAAUACCGCAUACGAUCUAUGGAUGAAAGCGGGGGAUCGCAAGACCUCGCGCGAUUGGAGCGGCCGAUAUCAGAUUAGGUAGUUGGUGGGGUAAAGGCUCACCAAGCCGACGAUCUGUAGCUGGUCUGAGAGGACGAACCGCCACAAUGGGGAUUGGAACACGGCCAGGAUCCUACGGGAGGCAGCAGUGGGGAAUUUUGGACAAUGGGCGCAAGCCUGAUCCAGCAAUGCCGCGUGCAGGAUGAAGGCCUUCGGGUUGUAAACUGCUUUUGUACGGAACGAAAAGGCUCUCUCUAAUACAGGGGGCUCAUGACGGUACCGUAAGAAUAAGCACCGGCUAACUACGUGCCAGCCGCCGCCGUAA
Molecule: ribosomal RNA, 500 nt
Filed under: uncultured bacterium
Lineage: Bacteria
Description: partial 16S ribosomal RNA
Rfam family: Bacterial small subunit ribosomal RNA
Source: RNAcentral